CACGUAGGGGGCAAGCGUUGUCCGGAUUUAUUGGGCGUAAAGAGCUCGUAGGUGGUUCGGUAAGUCAGGUGUGAAACCUCCAGGCUCAACCUGGAGACGCCACUUGAUACUGCUGUGACUGGAGUCCGGUAGGGGAGCGUGGAAUUCCUGGUGUAGCGGUGAAAUGCGCAGAUAUCAGGAGGAACACCAGCGGCGAAGGCGGUGCUCUGGGCCGGUACUGACACUGAGGAGCGAAAGCGUGGGUAGCAAACAGG
RNAcentral lists this ribosomal RNA (254 nucleotides) under uncultured bacterium. RNAcentral describes it as "partial 16S ribosomal RNA". It matches the Rfam family "Bacterial small subunit ribosomal RNA", at positions 524 to 776 of the family's 1533-position model. The record is from RNAcentral.